This 497-nucleotide ribosomal RNA is filed under the name uncultured bacterium. RNAcentral's name for it is "partial 16S ribosomal RNA". It matches the Rfam family "Bacterial small subunit ribosomal RNA", at positions 28 to 507 of the family's 1533-position model. The record is from RNAcentral.
GACGAACGCUGGCGGCGUGCCUAAUACAUGCAAGUAGAACGCUGAAGCUUGGUGCUUGCCCCGAGCGGAUGAGUUGCGAACGGGUGAGUAACGCGUAGGUAACCUGCCUGGUAGCGGGGGAUAACUAUUGGAAACGAUAGCUAAUACCGCAUAAUAGUAGAUGUUGCAUGACAUUUGCUUAAAAGGUGCAAUUGCAUCACUACCAGAUGGACCUGCGUUGUAUUAGCUAGUUGGUGAGGUAACGGCUCACCAAGGCAACGAUACAUAGCCGACCUGAGAGGGUGAUCGGCCACACUGGGACUGAGACACGGCCCAGACUCCUACGGGAGGCAGCAGUAGGGAAUCUUCGGCAAUGGACGGAAGGCUGACCGAGCAACGCCGCGUGAGUGAAGAAGGUUUUCGGAUCGUAAAGCUCUGUUGUAAGAGAAGAACGAGUGUGAGAGUGGAAAGUUCACACUGUGACGGUAUCUUACCAGAAAGGGACGGCUAACUACGUG